This 238-nucleotide ribosomal RNA is filed under the name uncultured Methylobacteriaceae bacterium. Its description in RNAcentral is "partial 16S ribosomal RNA". It matches the Rfam family "Bacterial small subunit ribosomal RNA", at positions 298 to 521 of the family's 1533-position model. Lineage: Bacteria; Pseudomonadati; Pseudomonadota; Alphaproteobacteria; Hyphomicrobiales; Methylobacteriaceae. The record is from RNAcentral.
ACNCGGCGUGCUGCAUCAGGCUUCCGCCCAUUGUGCAAUAUUCCCCACCUGCUGCCUCCCGUAGGACGAAUGUCCUACGGAGGCAGCAGUGGGGAAUAUUGGACAAUGGGCGCAAGCCUGAUCCAGCAAUGCCGCGUGAGUGAUGAAGGCCUUAGGGUUGUAAAGCUCUUUUAUCCGGGACGAUAAUGACGGUACCGGAGGAAUAAGCCCCGGCUAACUUCGUGCCAGCAGCCGCGGU